This 413-nucleotide unclassified non-coding RNA is filed under the name Hevea brasiliensis (rubber tree). Lineage: Eukaryota; Viridiplantae; Streptophyta; Magnoliopsida; Malpighiales; Euphorbiaceae. The record is from RNAcentral.
AUUUGGAAGGCUAUUAAUGGUGGCCAAUGUUGGUGAUUGCCGAGCUGUCCUCUGUCGUAAAGGAGAGGCAAUAGACAUGUCUCAAGACCAUAGGCCUGUUUAUCCAUCAGAACGAAGGCGUGUUGAGGAAUUGGGUGGUUACAUUGAUGAUGGAUAUCUCAAUGGUGUUUUAUCAGUUUCUCGAGCUCUUGGGGAUUGGGACAUGAAAAACCCCCAAGGUGCUCCUUCGCCGCUCAUUGCGGAGCCAGAGUUCCAGCAGGUGAUUCUAACAGAGGAUGAUGAGUUUCUUAUUAUUGGUUGUGAUGGGAUUUGGGAUGUCAUGUCAAGUCAGCGUGCCGUGAACCUUGUCCGUCGGGGGUUGAGGCGGCAUGAUGAUCCAGAUCUGUGUGCUAGGGACCUUGUCAUGGAGGCCU